GGGCGCCCAACCUCCCACCCGUGACUACCUAACACUGUUGCUUCGGCGGGGAGCCCUCUCGGGGGCGAGCCGCCGGGGACUACUGAACUUCAUGCCUGAGAGUGAUGCAGUCUGAGUCUGAAUAUAAAAUCAGUCAAAACUUUCAACAAUGGAUCUCUUGGUUCCGGCAUCGAUGAAGAACGCAGCGAACUGCGAUAAGUAAUGUGAAUUGCAGAAUUCAGUGAAUCAUCGAGUCUUUGAACGCACAUUGCGCCCCCUGGCAUUCCGGGGGGCAUGCCUGUCCGAGCGUCAUUGCUGCCCAUCAAGCCCGGCUUGUGUGUUGGGUCGUCGUCCCCCCCGGGGGACGGGCCCGAAAGGCAGCGGCGGCACCGUGUCCGGUCCUCGAGCGUAUGGGGCUUUGUCACCCGCUCGAUUAGGGCCGGCCGGGCGCCAGCCGACGUCUCCAACCAUUUUCUUCAGGUUGACCUCGGAUCAGGUAGGGAUACCCGCUGAACUUAA
RNAcentral lists this ribosomal RNA (498 nucleotides) under Aspergillus versicolor. RNAcentral describes it as "eukaryotic LSU rRNA". The stretch from base 138 to 291 matches the Rfam family "5.8S ribosomal RNA". Lineage: Eukaryota; Fungi; Ascomycota; Eurotiomycetes; Eurotiales; Aspergillaceae. The record is from RNAcentral.